Molecule: non-coding RNA, 1014 nt
Organism: Lolium perenne
Lineage: Eukaryota; Viridiplantae; Streptophyta; Magnoliopsida; Poales; Poaceae
Source: RefSeq, a predicted model, not a curated record
UAGAAUGUUGAAGUUCAGUAUUCACGUGUGCUCAUUUUCCAUGCCGAUACAACAUGGCUGGCGAGCUUAGGGACGAUUUGGACAAACCGAGUACCUCAUGCUAAAAUUCAGUCUCUUAUAUUUCUUUCAACCGGAACAUGAUCUCAAGGCACCAGAUUUAAUGAAGAUGGUGGCCAUCUAUUUCACAAGUGCAAGCCUCUGUGUGCAUUGUGGAGGAUCUGAAGCUUGAACCCAUCAGAGCUAAGUUGGCCUCUUGUCUUGAUGCCAAAGAUGUCAUUGCACAGAUACUAGGUGCCAAUGAACAGGAGAAGAUGAGAUGUGUUGACCUGCUUUCGGUCUGGUGGCGUGUGAGGAACAAAUGCAAUGUUGUUGAGUCUACGUCCUUGUCAGAUUCAAUUUGUCAUGUCUCUAACUGCUGAGUUUGAACAACAGUGAAGGAAAAUAAAGAAGAAAGAGCAACCUGCUAUGAGAUCAAGUGGAAGCCACCGGUGCACGAUGUUCUGAAGAUAAAUAUUGAUGGGAGCAUGGACCCAGCCAAUGCGUCUGGUGGCUGGGGUUUGGUGUUUAGAGAUGAGCUCGGAGUUGUAGCCGGUUUAGGUGCUAGCCAUAUGGAGCAUCUGCAGGAUGUUCUCCACACUGAGGCAGAGACCUACCUGCAAUCACUAUUUCAGGCUCAAAUAUGGUGUAUUUCUUGGGUUCACGUUGAACUGACUCACAACUUCUGGUGCAACCGAUCAAGGGAAGCGAGCAACGGUGCUAUUUUUAGGGAUAUUAAAUUUCAGAUUUCGUUGAACUUCUCUGUUUUCAGUAUUUUGUAAUGCACGCCCUCGGGCCUGUAAUAAAGUGGUGGAUGCUAUGGUGACGCAUGGCGGUGAGAUUAGGGCUCAGCCCCCCAUCAUUUUGGCCGGGUUGUGUCCCUGGCUUCAUGUUUGAUUAGGUACCCUGAGGGACUGGCGGUGACCGCCCGGGAAGCGACAGACUGAUAUAAGACAAAUGAUAUGUUAUGUUCUUUUC